UCUCAAAGUCAGGAGCCAGACUGGGUCUGAAUCUAAGCUAUACCACUCUACUGUAGCUGCGUGACUUUAGGCAAGUUAUUUAACUUCUCUGUGCCUCAGUUCCCCAUCUGUGGAAUGUGACAAUAAUAGUACUUAUUUCAGAUGGUUGUGGUGAAGACUA
Molecule: small nucleolar RNA, 160 nt
Filed under: Loxodonta africana (African savanna elephant)
Lineage: Eukaryota; Metazoa; Chordata; Mammalia; Proboscidea; Elephantidae
Description: Small nucleolar RNA ACA59 (ENSLAFG00000033135.1)
Source: RNAcentral